UACAGAGGUGGCAAGCGUUGUUCGGAAUUACUGGGCGUAAAGGGCGCGUAGGCGGUUCGUUAAGUCCUGUGUGAAAUCCCCCGGCUCAACUGGGGAACUGCACAGGAAACUAGCGGGCUUGAGUUCGGGAGAGGGAAGCGGAAUUCCGGGUGUAGCGGUGAAAUGCGUAGAUAUCCGGAGGAACACCAGUGGCGAAGGCGGCGACCUGGGCAGAUACUGACGCUGAGGUGCGAAAGCGUGGGGAGCAAACAGG
RNAcentral lists this ribosomal RNA (253 nucleotides) under uncultured bacterium. RNAcentral's name for it is "partial 16S ribosomal RNA". It matches the Rfam family "Bacterial small subunit ribosomal RNA", at positions 524 to 776 of the family's 1533-position model. The record is from RNAcentral.